RNAcentral lists this ribosomal RNA (1102 nucleotides) under uncultured Alphaproteobacteria bacterium. RNAcentral's name for it is "bacterial SSU rRNA". It matches the Rfam family "Bacterial small subunit ribosomal RNA", at positions 67 to 1213 of the family's 1533-position model. The record is from RNAcentral. Lineage: Bacteria; Pseudomonadati; Pseudomonadota; Alphaproteobacteria.
CGAGAUCUUCGGAUCUAGUGGCGCACGGGUGAGUAACAUGUGGGAAUCUACCUGAAGGUUCGGAAUAACUGCGGGAAACUGUAGCUAAUACCGGAUGUGUCUGCAAAGAGAAAGAUUUAUCGCCUUCAGAUGAGCCCGCACUAGAUUAGCUAGUUGGUGAGGUAAUUGCUCCACCAAGGCUACGAUCUAUAGCUGAUUUGAGAGGAUGAUCAGCCACACUGGGACUGAGACACGGCCCAGACUCCUACGGGAGGCAGCAGUAGGGAAUAUUGGACAAUGGGGGAAACCCUGAUCCAGCAAUGCCGCGUGAGUGAAGAAGGCCUUCGGGUUGUAAAGCUCUUUCAUCAAUGAUGAUAAUGACAUUAGUUGAAGAAGAAGCCCCGGCUAACUUCGUGCCAGCAGCCGCGGUAAUACGAAGGGGGCUAGCGUUGUUCGGAAUCACUGGGCGUAAAGCGUAUGUGGGCGGAUCAAAAAGUUAGAUGUGAAAUCCCUGGGCUCAACCCAGGAACUGCAUUUAAAACUAGUGAUCUAGAAUUUGGUAGGGGCCAGUAGAAUUUCCAGUGUAGAGGUGAAAUUCGUAGAUAUUGGAAAGAAUACCAGUGGCGAAGGCGACUGGCUGGGCCAUUUUUGACGCUGAGAUACGAAAGCGUGGGUAGCAAACAGGAUUAGAUACCCUGGUAGUCCACGCAGUAAACGAUGAGUGCUAGUCGCUGGGACAAUAGUUUCAGUGUCGAAGCUAACGCAUUAAGCACUCCGCCUGGGAAGUACGGUCGCAAGAUUAAAACUCAAAUAAAUUGACGGGGGCCCGCACAAGCGGUGGAGCAUGUGGUUUAAUUCGAAGCAACGCGAAGAACCUUACCAGACCUUGACAUGGUAUGUUUGAAUUACAGAAUCGUAAUUCUUCAGUUCGGCUGGCAUACACACAGGUGCUGCAUGGCUGUCGUCAGCUCGUGUCGUGAGAUGUUGGGUUAAGUCCCGCAACGAGCGCAACCCUCAUUUUUAGUUGCCAUCAGGUUAUGCUGGGCACUCUAAAAAAACUGCCGGUGAUAAGCUGGAGGAAGGCGGGGAUGACGUCAAGUCCUCAUGGCCCUUACGGUCUGGG